AGAAAUCUUAAUAAAAUAUUAAAAUAAAAACCUUAAUUAAAUCCUAAUCAAAUUCUAAUAAAAUCCUAAAUAAAUCCUAGACAAAUUCUAAUAAAUCUUAAUCAAAUCCUAAUCAAAUCCUAAACAAACUCUAAAAAAACCUUAACCAAAUCUUAAUAAAACUCUAAACAAAUCCUAAACAAAUCCUAAUCAAAUCCUAAAUAAAUCCUAAUCAAAUCCUAAACAAACUCUAAUCAAAUCCUAAAAAAAUCCUAAAUAAAUCCUAAUCAAAUCCUAAAUACAUCCUAGUCAAAUCCUAACAAAUCCUAACUAAAUCCUAAUCAAAUUCUAACCAAAUUCCAACCAAAUCCUAGUCAAAUCCUAAACAAAUCCUAAUCAAAUCUUAAAUAAAUCCUAUUCAAAUCCUAAACAAUCUUGACCAAAUUCUAAAUAAAUCUAAAAAAAAGAUACCUAACCCUAAUCAACUUUACACAUACCACAACCAAACCCUAAAUAAUCCCAAAUAAAUCCUAUAGUAGAUUUAAAUCUCAAUAACUAAUGAAUGAACUAUUGAUUUUAACUCAAAUUUUUCACACCUCUUCACAAUUAAGUUAAAAACAAGCAUAAAUUUUUUGAAAAAGAUCAAUUUCACCAAAAAGAAGAUCAACUCUAAUAUUUUUUUGGAUGUUGGCUGGCCUCUUUCUUCAAUCUGAAUGUUGAAUUUCCAGUGUCAAUAUCUCCUCACCGAACCAUUCAAUUGAUUUCAAAUUUUUUGCAUAUGUAGAAAAAUAAGUCUAUUAUAUAUAUACAUAAUUUUUACUCCAAUUCAACUAAUAGAUUACAAGAAAUCUAAGAAAUCCUCAUUAGACCUAAAACUCUAUUUUUUGAGAUUCUAACCUACUUAAACCUCAAUAAUCCUUGAUCCAACCUUUCGAUCAAGCUCAAACUCACAGCAUAUAUUGAAUACAUAUAUAUCCACAAAUCUUCAAAGUUUUACUUGUAAAUCUAUUGCCAAACUUAUAAAAAUUUUCAGAAAUUAUUAUCUACUUUAUUUCACAAAUCUAGAGUCACCCAAAACAAACCUUAACUUUGCAAAGCUCUUACAAAGUCAAUAUACACUCAAAUCACCCCAAAUCAACACUCAAAGAAAAUCUAUCAAGUUAGAUCUUAGACCUAUUUUCCAAUCUCCAAAAGAAUCCUAGAAUCAUAGUCGGAGCUCAGUUUUGUGCCUUGAAUCUGAUUUCGAUCCUAUUUCAUAACUAGCCCUCUCUAGGUAUCAAUGUCUAGCUUUUCUAGAUAAUAUUUCCUAGAAACUACUCUUAAUUUCUUUUUAAAGUUGCCUAUAUUUUUUAUUUUUCUAAUCUAUCUUAUUUUGCUCUAUUUGUGAUCCUACAAAGUCAAUAGAAGCCUAUUUUGUAAAAAGGCAGUAUUAGCACCUUUAAUUUUUCUACCUCUUGACUAUUAUCUAUUUUUUCAAGAUAAUUUUUUCCAAUAUAUUUGAAAUAAGAUCUUCAAAAAUGUGAUAUUUUCUUCAUCCUUUCACCUAUUAGCCAUUUUACAUCAUGAUAAUAUCUCUAGUUUCUUUGUCUUUUGGCAAUAGCCAUUUUAGUUUUUUUUUUAGUAUACAUACUUCUCUAUUUCUAUUUUGUCAUAUUUCUUUAAAUGAGCUUCAUUUGAUUAUUUGCUUUCAUUGAGUUCUUGUCUUUAACAUAAAGUAAAAGAAGAUGUUAAAUUUCUAUAUGAAAAAUUGAUUUAUACAAAUAAAGAAGAAAGUUUUGAAUAUCAUGGAUUAGAAAAGAAUUUACUACAAAAGUUGGGAGACUUGUGUUACUCAGAAGAUAGAGAUUCAAAACUAUUACCAAACACAAAGGAUCUUGUAAUUAUAGAAUACAUAAAUGAAUAAAUUUUUGGAGAAGUUUAUAAAUCAAAGUGGUUGAAACUUCUCUAUUCAACUAAAAAGAUGAAUCUUGAUAUUUAUGAAUUGUUUAUCAAAGAAAUUAGUAUUUUAAUAAAUUUAGGCCAUUCGAACUUGAUAACUUAUCAUUUUUUAAUGAAAGAUAAUGCCAAUGAAAGAAUUAAAUAUUUUAUUAAAAAAGCACAAGAAAUAUUAUUUAUACUUGGAAAUAGAAUUGAUACAAAAAAAAAUUGUGCAAUAUGUUUGAAAAAGGCAAAGAAGUAUCUUAUGUUUCUUUUAUUGAUCUUAUGCAUCAAAUUACUGAAAGAAUGUAUUAUUUUCAUGAUAUGCACAUUAUACAUUGUAAUUUAAAUAUUAUGGAAUCAAAGGUUACAAAUAAGACUAUUUAAUAUGAUAUUGUAAAAGAAAUUGACUUUGGAAUAUACAAGAUUGAAGUUAGAAGAAAUCCAAAGAUAUAAAGUAUGAUUAUAUUUAUAAUAAACUUAAUUAUAUGGAUUUGGAAGUAUUAAAAAAAAGAUUUCAAACAAUGGCAAUGUAUCUUUUUGAAGUUGAUGUUUAUUCAUUUACAAUGGUAUGUUCUAAGAUAUUUUAAAAAAAAAGGUCUAUUUGAUAAUAUUAUAAAUAAAUAAAAAAAAAAAGACCUUUGAAAGAAUUGAAAAUGUGAAGGACCAAAGUUACCUUCAAAUUAUAAUGACUUGAUUGAGCUUAUCUAAGAAUGUUGGAGGUUGAAUCUUUUAUUUUGGCCAAAGUUUGUAAAUUUUUCAGUUAAAAAAAUAUAUAUUUUUAAAUUUUAAAGUAUAGCAAAUGCAUUAUAUUUUAGAGUAUCCAAAAAUAUUUAUUAUUAAAAUUUAGAACUUCAAGUAUAUAAUAGAUUGUCAUUCUUAAGACUUAUACUGAAAAUUAAAUUAAAUAUAUAAUGAAUUAAUUAUAUUGAUUGUAUUUAAUAUUUAUACAUGCUCUUCAAUGCUACAAUGAUAUUUAGAUGUCUUACUAUGAGAUCUAGUUAAUAAGGCUAGAUUAAAAUGUAGUAUAAAUAUCAUUAAAAUAUGGUAUAAAUAAAUUAUUUUACAAGUUAGUUUGUAGGAUAUAGAAUUGUGGACUUUGACUUUAAGAUUUUGACUUCUAAUAUAAAAUUUUUUUUAAGAAUUUUAAAAAUAACAUUAGAUCUAUUUUUAGAUUUUAUAUUCUAUUUACUAUCUUUUUAUAAACAAAUUAAUUUAUAUUGUGAAAAAAUUCAAAGAUGAGGCAAAAAUUACAUAAAUCAUCUUGCUUCUAACCAUAAUAAAGAAAUUGGCUUUCUUAUAUUAAAUCUUGUUGUUGUGCUUGAGUGCUAAUCUUCUCUCUUAUUUUUUGAAGUUGACAUUUUAUAUGCUUGCUACUUCACCUUAUUGUUUGUUUAGGAAAAAUUAGUGCACUUUUCACACAAAUAGAAGCUGCAAAAAAAUUUCUUCCAUGAAUCUUAUUUGCAAAUUUUUUAAUAUAAAAUAUCAUUGGAUUUCUUUUUAUAUUUUCUAUUUUAAAUAUGUAAUUGAAUUAUUCCCAAAAUAUGUAAUUUUGUAGAUAUUGAGGAUCUGACCAUUUUAAUUUUUGAGUUGAAUUUGCAAAUGGAUAGAAUUAUGAAAGUUUUUUAUUUGAUCUAUCUUCUUAUUUUAGGGAUCUACAUAUUCAAUAGUGGACUUAGAAUGUUCUACAAGUUUUUUAAUUUUUAGAUAUAAAUCCUUUAAUUUUUUACUUUUUUUUAUUAACUUUAUUCUUACUUUAUCUACUUCCUUCUUUGUUUGUAUAGUGAUUCUUUUGAUCCUAUUGGUAUGUUUAGAAUCUUCAACAAGUCUAUAUUUUAGGAGAUAUGGGAUUUUCAAAGUUGCAAAUUUAUCCUUUGUAUAAUAUAUGAAAAAGAAUAAUAAAUAAAUAAAUAAAUAAUACAUAUAUUCAUUACUUUGAACAUAUAAAAUAGCUUUCAUAGCAUUAGUAUCUAGUUGAAAUUAAAUUAAAAAAAAAAAAAAAAAAAAAAAUUGUGUACACUGGAGUGUAUUUUUCUUUUUUACCAUUGAGAAAAUGAGGAAGGUUAAUGUACAUGUAUAAUACUGGUAGUGGCUUUCCAGCGAAGGAAUAACCUCAUCAAACUACUCCACCUUCGCCAUGUAGCAAACUAAACCCGCAGGCUUCACAUCGCUCGAAACUGUCGGAGUUACGAGUAGGUCAUAAGGUCCAUUACCUUUCCGACCUUAUAAUGACGCCGUCGCAGUGAUGAAAAGAGACGUCGAAGCGGGUGACGGGGUUUUGGAGUGACGGCGUGACGCAGUCGGUGGGAUGGACGGGGAUGACGUAGGGGAUGUCGGGAAAAUGUAGUGACGCCGUUACGCCGUCGCGUGACCGUUGAAGGCUUCGAAGGGAAUACCAAUGUGCCUCCUCAUCAAGGCCGCGUCAUAAUUAGUUCCUUCUGGAACAGAUACCAUGGAAAAGGUUUCCUGGUGCGCGGAAUUCGCACCGAGAAAGCUCCUUCGAGUGCACAGCACCUACGUCAUGAAAGGUGUUGGGCCUGAACCUGGCGCGCCAGCAUUGACAGAGUUGGACACUUCCUGAUGCCUCCCUAUGGGUACCCACCAUCAUCUCGGAACCGUGAUGGCAACUCCAACUAAUCAAUUGGUUCUCCCUCAGGCAGCGAAUAAACCACGGCGGCAGCUGGGUUUCAAAGUCAAAUUGCGCGGGGGUGCAGACCUUCAACUGUCACCAAGAGCUCCGGUGCCUGAUCACGCUGUUCUGUUGGUUUCGAAUUGCAGAGUCUUGCUUGGUGGAUCUGGUGAGUGAGCGGGAGCGCUCAGAGCUCAUUCUCCAGUUUCCCCCAGUCAUGAUAUUCGCCGAGAAGCGCACCCCAACGGUGCCCGCAUUUCUCUACUCGAUCGAGGCUCGCAGGACUGGCAUUUCUGCUCUCCCUUCGCUGUUCCAGACCUUGACCACGGAGGCCAGCAGCAAUGUGGCCCCGGCGUACACCUCCUCCAGCUUGUUCAAGCAGGUGGCCAGCGCCGCGAAGACCUCCACCGGGGUGGCGUCGUCGGUGAUGGUGCCCUCCCCCAGUGAGCCGGGCAAGAUUGUGAUGUUCUCGGGCGAGUACUACCGCGCGUGCGCCGUGGGAGGGAUGAUGUGCUGCGGGCUGACGCACAUGGGGGUGACGCCCAUCGACGUGGUGAAGUGCAACAUGCAGAUCGCGCCCGAGAAGUACAAGUCGAUCUCGAGCGGGUUUUCGUUGCUGGUGAAGGAGCAAGGCGCCGUGGGGCUGGUCCGCGGAUGGGUGCCGACUCUGAUGGGAUACAGCGUGCAGGGCGCUUGCAAGUACGGGUUCUACGAGUACUUCAAGAAGACGUAUUCGGACAUGGCCGGGGCCGAGGACGCCAAGAGGUUCAAGACGUUGAUCUACUUGGGGGCGUCGGCGUCAGCGGAGGUGAUCGCCGACGUCGGGCUGUGCCCAUUCGAGGCCGUGAAGGUGAGAGUGCAGACGAAUCCGGGAUUCGCGAAGGGCAUCAUGGACGGGAUGCCGAAGCUGAUUGCGUCGGACGGCGUGGGCGGGCUGUUCAAGGGGUUGGUGCCACUGUGGUGCCGGCAGAUCCCGUACACGAUGAUGAAGUUCGCGACAUUCGAGAGCACGGUGGAGGCAAUCUACAAGUACGCGGUGCCGGUGCCUAAGAGCGAGGUGUCAUCGGGCACCCAGUUGGGCAUCUCGUUCACUGCCGGGUACAUUGCGGGAGUGGCGUGCGCCGUGAUCUCGCACCCCGCGGACAACUUGGUGUCGUUCUUGAACAAGUCGAAGGAAGCAACGGUGUCGGGGGCGGUGAAGCAGAUGGGGGUGAAGGCGUUAUUCACUCGCGGGCUGCCGCUGCGUAUCAUCAUGAUCGGUACGUUGACGGGAGCGCAGUGGGGAAUUUACGACUCGUUCAAGGUGUUCGUGGGUCUGCCGACGACGGGCGGUGUGGUGGAGGAGCCCAGGAAGUUAGCGUAGGGGGUAGUAGCGUAGAGCUGGAGGCAUCGUGAGGAGCAAGCACAAGACGGUGAGGACUGGAAGGCGUUUUUCUUGAGCAGCCAGGGGACAGAAAGGAAGCAUAGAAGGAUGCGAGUCAUUCGGGGCACCUUGCGGGAGCAACGAGAGGGGCGCGUGGGAUAUGUUUGUGAUAUCCUGUGGCGUGAGGCGAAUGUUUGGGUAGGCAAGAUCGAAUAGGUCAGGAGUAGAUUCAGGAAGAGCGAAGGUUAUGGCAAGUCCCCUUGUACUUGUGGGAGCUAGCAUCGGCGAGCAGAGGUAAUAGGGUUGAGAAUAGAUCCGACGAGAUGGUACAUUCAAUUGAGGACAUAUGACACGCUGGUGUUGUCGCUUUGGUGACGAUGGUAUUAUUUUUGAGGUGAGAUGAGAGAUAAAUCAGAAGUCGACGAAGCGCAGGCUGAACAUGCGCUGACAUCACGGGUCGGCAGUUUAGUAGAAGGCUACACGAAAUUGCGUAGUUGGGUGAUGCUUAAAUGUGAACUCGGCUUGGCAAUGCAGUGUUUUGUGCUACAUGGGCACACGCUAGAUGGUCAUUCUGCACAUAUAUGCUGUGUGGGUAAGUGGCAGAUUGUUGUGCUGUAGAGGGCGUGAUAUUGCGCUAAUCUUGCACAUGAUGUGAAGUACUAGAGCUGGGUCUGAUUAAAAUUUUCACGGGCGUCAGUAAACGUUCGUGUCAGUAAUCUGGAAUCAUGUCAUAGCGCAAAUCGUUGUAUUCAUUCAAGUUCCAAGUGUGAAAUGAUGAAUGUAAACUUAGGCUUUCGUAAAGAAGGUGCUUUGCUUGGUGAUCGUCUCUGGGACAUCUUCGGUGCUAGUGUAACUUGAUUACUCUGAUGAGUUUCUGCCUUUUCAGUUCUCCUGGAUUUGAAAAGCUACCAUAGAAGCACCUACCAGAAAAUAAUGGUCAAACAUAUCAAUUUCCAGCACGAACCAAUCUUAUUUUUUUAAAAAAUUUUAAACACAGUUUUGAGAUAAUUCAUGUGUUUUUAUUUUAUGAUUUUUAAUGAAUAAACAAAUAGAAGGGGUUGAUUUAGUUCUAAUAAAUUAACAACUUCGAAUGAAUAAGCCACGUCAUCAAAUAUUUAGUUCAUUUGUUGAAUCUGUUCUGAUCUCAAGAAAAGAUUAAAAAAAAUUAUUGUAACAAAAUAUAAUAAAUUAUAAUUAUGUAAGGAUUAUAUAUAUAUAUACAUAUACAUAUAUAUAUAUAUAUAUAUUGGUGACAUAAAAAAGUAAUAAUUAUACAUAAAAUUAACAUUAAAAUUAUUGAAAUAUU
RNAcentral lists this long non-coding RNA (7194 nucleotides) under Physcomitrium patens. RNAcentral's name for it is "long non-coding RNA (PPAT_LNC004880)". The record is from RNAcentral. Lineage: Eukaryota; Viridiplantae; Streptophyta; Bryopsida; Funariales; Funariaceae.